Molecule: ribosomal RNA, 255 nt
Filed under: uncultured prokaryote
Description: partial 16S ribosomal RNA
Rfam family: Bacterial small subunit ribosomal RNA
Source: RNAcentral
ACACGUAAGGUGCGAGCGUUGUCCGGAAUUAUUGGGCGUAAAGAGCUCGUAGGCGGUGUGUCGCGUCGGCCGUGAAAACUUUCAGCUCAACUGGGAGCUUGCGGUCGAUACGGGCAUCACUGGAGUUCGGCAGGGGAGACUGGAAUUCCUGGUGUAGCGGUGAAAUGCGCAGAUAUCAGGAGGAACACCGGUGGCGAAGGCGGGUCUCUGGGCCGAUACUGACGCUGAGGAGCGAAAGCGUGGGGAGCGAACAGG